This 239-nucleotide unclassified non-coding RNA is filed under the name Funneliformis mosseae. RNAcentral's name for it is "partial contains 5.8S ribosomal RNA and internal transcribed spacer 2". The stretch from base 1 to 71 matches the Rfam family "5.8S ribosomal RNA", at positions 84 to 154 of the family's 154-position model. Lineage: Eukaryota; Fungi; Glomeromycota; Glomeromycetes; Glomerales; Glomeraceae. The record is from RNAcentral.
GUGAAUCAUCGAAUCUUUGAACGCAAAUUGCACUCCCUGGUAUUCCGGGGAGUAUGCCUGUUUGAGGGUCGGUAGAACAAAAAUCGAAGCGUCGCUCUUUUUUUAAGGGUGAUCGCGUCGGAAUUGAUCCGCCUUUCAACUGUUAAUUCAUGUCAAAGUGGCUUGAAAUUCAUCCAUCCGGUACGAUUAAAGCGUAUUUAAGUUCAACUUUGCUAAAGAACGCGCUAUGAACGUACAUU